CCGUUUUCUGCUUCAACAGUGUUUGAACCGAAACAG
This is a non-coding RNA of Nematostella vectensis (starlet sea anemone), 36 nucleotides long. The record is from Rfam. Lineage: Eukaryota; Metazoa; Cnidaria; Anthozoa; Actiniaria; Edwardsiidae.